RNAcentral lists this transfer RNA (69 nucleotides) under Hydroporus kasyi. Its description in RNAcentral is "tRNA-Gln". It matches the Rfam family "tRNA". From Rfam's summary of the family: Transfer RNA (tRNA) molecules are approximately 80 nucleotides in length. Their secondary structure includes four short double-helical elements and three loops (D, anti-codon, and T loops). Lineage: Eukaryota; Metazoa; Arthropoda; Insecta; Coleoptera; Dytiscidae. The record is from RNAcentral.
UAUAUUUUAGUAUAUGAUAUACGUGAGUUUUUGAUACUUAAGAUAAUAGUUUAAUUCUAUUAAAUAUAA